UUAAGCGACUAAGCGUACACGGUGGAUGCCCUGGCAGUCAGAGGCGAUGAAGGACGUGCUAAUCUGCGAUAAGCGUCGGUAAGGUGAUAUGAACCGUUAUAACCGGCGAUUUCCGAAUGGGGAAACCCAGUGUGUUUCGACACACUAUCAUUAACUGAAUCCAUAGGUUAAUGAGGCGAACCGGGGGAACUGAAACAUCUAAGUACCCCGAGGAAAAGAAAUCAACCGAGAUUCCCCCAGUAGCGGCGAGCGAACGGGGAGCAGCCCAGAGCCUGAAUCAGUGUGUGUGUUAGUGGAAGCGUCUGGAAAGGCGCGCGAUACAGGGUGACAGCCCCGUACACAAAAAUGCACAUGCUGUGAGCUCGAUGAGUAGGGCGGGACACGUGGUAUCCUGUCUGAAUAUGGGGGGACCAUCCUCCAAGGCUAAAUACUCCUGACUGACCGAUAGUGAACCAGUACCGUGAGGGAAAGGCGAAAAGAACCCCGGCGAGGGGAGUGAAAAAGAACCUGAAACCGUGUACGUACAAGCAGUGGGAGCACGCUUAGGCGUGUGACUGCGUACCUUUUGUAUAAUGGGUCAGCGACUUAUAUUCUGUAGCAAGGUUAACCGAAUAGGGGAGCCGAAGGGAAACCGAGUCUUAACUGGGCGUUAAGUUGCAGGGUAUAGACCCGAAACCCGGUGAUCUAGCCAUGGGCAGGUUGAAGGUUGGGUAACACUAACUGGAGGACCGAACCGACUAAUGUUGAAAAAUUAGCGGAUGACUUGUGGCUGGGGGUGAAAGGCCAAUCAAACCGGGAGAUAGCUGGUUCUCCCCGAAAGCUAUUUAGGUAGCGCCUCGUGAAUUCAUCUCCGGGGGUAGAGCACUGUUUCGGCAAGGGGGUCAUCCCGACUUACCAACCCGAUGCAAACUGCGAAUACCGGAGAAUGUUAUCACGGGAGACACACGGCGGGUGCUAACGUCCGUCGUGAAGAGGGAAACAACCCAGACCGCCAGCUAAGGUCCCAAAGUCAUGGUUAAGUGGGAAACGAUGUGGGAAGGCCCAGACAGCCAGGAUGUUGGCUUAGAAGCAGCCAUCAUUUAAAGAAAGCGUAAUAGCUCACUGGUCGAGUCGGCCUGCGCGGAAGAUGUAACGGGGCUAAACCAUGCACCGAAGCUGCGGCAGCGACGCUUAUGCGUUGUUGGGUAGGGGAGCGUUCUGUAAGCCUGUGAAGGUGUACUGUGAGGUAUGCUGGAGGUAUCAGAAGUGCGAAUGCUGACAUAAGUAACGAUAAAGCGGGUGAAAAGCCCGCUCGCCGGAAGACCAAGGGUUCCUGUCCAACGUUAAUCGGGGCAGGGUGAGUCGACCCCUAAGGCGAGGCCGAAAGGCGUAGUCGAUGGGAAACAGGUUAAUAUUCCUGUACUUGGUGUUACUGCGAAGGGGGGACGGAGAAGGCUAUGUUGGCCGGGCGACGGUUGUCCCGGUUUAAGCGUGUAGGCUGGUUUUCCAGGCAAAUCCGGAAAAUCAAGGCUGAGGCGUGAUGACGAGGCACUACGGUGCUGAAGCAACAAAUGCCCUGCUUCCAGGAAAAGCCUCUAAGCAUCAGGUAACAUCAAAUCGUACCCCAAACCGACACAGGUGGUCAGGUAGAGAAUACCAAGGCGCUUGAGAGAACUCGGGUGAAGGAACUAGGCAAAAUGGUGCCGUAACUUCGGGAGAAGGCACGCUGAUAUGUAGGUGAAGNUGGAGCUGAAAUCAGUCGAAGAUACCAGCUGGCUGCAACUGUUUAUUAAAAACACAGCACUGUGCAAACACGAAAGUGGACGUAUACGGUGUGACGCCUGCCCGGUGCCGGAAGGUUAAUUGAUGGGGUCAGCGCAAGCGAAGCUCUUGAUCGAAGCCCCGGUAAACGGCGGCCGUAACUAUAACGGUCCUAAGGUAGCGAAAUUCCUUGUCGGGUAAGUUCCGACCUGCACGAAUGGCGUAAUGAUGGCCAGGCUGUCUCCACCCGAGACUCAGUGAAAUUGAACUCGCUGUGAAGAUGCAGUGUACCCGCGGCAAGACGGAAAGACCCCGUGAACCUUUACUAUAGCUUGACACUGAACAUUGAGCCUUGAUGUGUAGGAUAGGUGGGAGGCUUUGAAGUGUGGACGCCAGUCUGCAUGGAGCCGACCUUGAAAUACCACCCUUUAAUGUUUGAUGUUCUAACGUUGACCCGUAAUCCGGGUUGCGGACAGUGUCUGGUGGGUAGUUUGACUGGGGCGGUCUCCUCCUAAAGAGUAACGGAGGAGCACGAAGGUUGGCUAAUCCUGGUCGGACAUCAGGAGGUUAGUGCAAUGGCAUAAGCCAGCUUGACUGCGAGCGUGACGGCGCGAGCAGGUGCGAAAGCAGGUCAUAGUGAUCCGGUGGUUCUGAAUGGAAGGGCCAUCGCUCAACGGAUAAAAGGUACUCCGGGGAUAACAGGCUGAUACCGCCCAAGAGUUCAUAUCGACGGCGGUGUUUGGCACCUCGAUGUCGGCUCAUCACAUCCUGGGGCUGAAGUAGGUCCCAAGGGUAUGGCUGUUCGCCAUUUAAAGUGGUACGCGAGCUGGGUUUAGAACGUCGUGAGACAGUUCGGUCCCUAUCUGCCGUGGGCGCUGGAGAACUGAGGGGGGCUGCUCCUAGUACGAGAGGACCGGAGUGGACGCAUCACUGGUGUUCGGGUUGUCAUGCCAAUGGCACUGCCCGGUAGCUAAAUGCGGAAGAGAUAAGUGCUGAAAGCAUCUAAGCACGAAACUUGCCCCGAGAUGAGUUCUCCCUGACCCUUUAAGGGUCCUGAAGGAACGUUGAAGACGACGACGUUGAUAGGCCGGGUGUGUAAGCGCAGCGAUGCGUUGAGCUAACCGGUACUAAUGAACCGUGAGGCUUAACCUU
RNAcentral lists this ribosomal RNA (2892 nucleotides) under Escherichia coli. RNAcentral describes it as "bacterial LSU rRNA". It matches the Rfam family "Bacterial large subunit ribosomal RNA". The record is from RNAcentral. Lineage: Bacteria; Pseudomonadati; Pseudomonadota; Gammaproteobacteria; Enterobacterales; Enterobacteriaceae.